GGGUUGUGAGGUUAAGCGAACAAGCGUACACGGUGGAUGCCCUGGCAGUCAGAGGCGAUGAAGGACGUGCUAAUCUGCGAAAAGCGCCGGUAAGGUGAUAUGAACCGUUAUAACCGGCGAUGUCCGAAUGGGGAAACCCGGUGCACUUCGGUGCAUCAUCGUUAGCUGAAUACAUAGGCUAACGAGGCGAACCGGGGGAACUGAAACAUCUAAGUACCCCGAGGAAAAGAAAUCAACCGAGAUUCCCCCAGUAGCGGCGAGCGAACGGGGAACAGCCCAGAGCCUGAAUCAGCUUGUGUGUCAGUGGAACGGUCUGGAAAGGCCGGCGAUACAGGGUGACAGCCCCGUACACGAAGGCACACAGGCUGUGAGCUCGAUGAGUAGGGCGGGACACGUGAUAUCCUGUCUGAAGAUGGGGGGACCAUCCUCCAAGGCUAAAUACUCCUGACUGACCGAUAGUGAACCAGUACCGUGAGGGAAAGGCGAAAAGAACCCCGGCGAGGGGAGUGAAACAGAACCUGAAACCGUGUACGUACAAGCAGUGGGAGCCUUCGUAAGAGGGUGACUGCGUACCUUUUGUAUAAUGGGUCAGCGACUUAUAUUCUGUAGCAAGGUUAACCGUAUAGGGGAGCCGAAGGGAAACCGAGUCUUAAUUGGGCGUUAAGUUGCAGGGUAUAGACCCGAAACCCGGUGAUCUAGCCAUGGGCAGGUUGAAGGUUGGGUAACACUAACUGGAGGACCGAACCGACUAAUGUUGAAAAAUUAGCGGAUGACCUGUGGCUGGGGGUGAAAGGCCAAUCAAACCGGGAGAUAGCUGGUUCUCCCCGAAAGCUAUUUAGGUAGCGCCUCGUGAACUCAUCUCCGGGGGUAGAGCACUGUUUCGGCUAGGGGGCCAUCCCGGCUUACCAACCCGAUGCAAACUGCGAAUACCGGAGAAUGUUAUCACGGGAGACACACGGCGGGUGCUAACGUCCGUCGUGAAGAGGGAAACAACCCAGACCGCCAGCUAAGGUCCCAAAGUCAUGGUUAAGUGGGAAACGAUGUGGGAAGGCCCAGACAGCCAGGAUGUUGGCUUAGAAGCAGCCAUCAUUUAAAGAAAGCGUAAUAGCUCACUGGUCGAGUCGGCCUGCGCGGAAGAUGUAACGGGGCUAAACCAUGCACCGAAGCUGCGGCAGCGACACUAUGUGUUGUUGGGUAGGGGAGCGUUCUGUAAGCCUGUGAAGGUGUGCUGUGAGGCAUGCUGGAGGUAUCA
This 1252-nucleotide ribosomal RNA is filed under the name Cronobacter sakazakii. RNAcentral describes it as "partial 23S ribosomal RNA". It matches the Rfam family "Bacterial large subunit ribosomal RNA", at positions 1 to 1284 of the family's 2925-position model. The record is from RNAcentral. Lineage: Bacteria; Pseudomonadati; Pseudomonadota; Gammaproteobacteria; Enterobacterales; Enterobacteriaceae.